Long non-coding RNA from Apis mellifera (honey bee), 963 nucleotides. RefSeq lists it as uncharacterized. Lineage: Eukaryota; Metazoa; Arthropoda; Insecta; Hymenoptera; Apidae. The transcript is spliced from 3 exons. The record is from RefSeq and is a predicted model, not a curated record.
GAUAUUAUGAAAAUCGAAAAUCGAUUAUUUUUCUCGCGAGAGUAACUUUCGUAAAAUUCGAUCUGUGACACUCGAUUUCAAGAGUCAUGGCGAUAAGUAGAACGCUAUUUGUAAAUGAUGACGUUUUAAAUUAUUUACUCGAGUGUAACAGGUGUAACUGUUUUAUCAAGAUUUCCCUUCUUUUUCCGCUUUUCUUUCCUCUUCCAUCUCCAUCUCGUUCCGAACCAUAGUACGACAAUCGAUCGGUAACGUUGUGUCUCGCGUAUGCGUACUGUUGGAUUUCUCUCUGGAUAUUGCCUUUUUCUUUUAAAUAUUGAUGGAGAAUUUUGAAUCACAAACGUGCCAAAGAUUUUCUUUGAAAAGUUCUUUCAAAGAUUCUUAAAAUUUCUCAAUAAAAAACCAUCGCAUCUUUAUUUAUAACACGCUUAUCAACCUAUCUUUCAUCCAUGAAUACUGUGUAAAUAGAUUUUCACUUUAAAUGCAGAUCAAUCUUAAUUAACUCGUCCCGAUUUUUCUUCAAUCACUCAGAUAUAUGAUUGCAUAUUCAUUAAGGAGUUUUCUAAUGAUCUGUACGUUUUUUUUAUAAUUCUUUUCCUUUUAAUCAUCAUGCUCAUACACAAAAGACAGAAGAGGAUUAUAAAUACAAAUAUAUAUAUAUAUUUUGAAUAUUAAUGCACAUAUAAUUUAAAAGAAAUAUGCAUAACAAAGAAAACUUGAGAGAAGACUUACCAGGCGUGAGAGACAUAGUCUGCUGCCUUCUUGACCUCGAAUUGUCACGUUUUCCAUUCGAAGACUGAGAUCCCGACACUUGUAAUCCCGGAGCACUGACCGCACGUUUCGGUCCUCCCAGUACACCAGGAACGUUGCUGUUCCUCGCGAAUCCUGGAGGGCGAUAUCUGGCCGAUUUCACGCCAGAAUGUUGAGGCAGAAAAUGAUAGACGCUGUGCGCUUUGUGCAUCGUCG